This 257-nucleotide ribosomal RNA is filed under the name uncultured prokaryote. Its description in RNAcentral is "partial 16S ribosomal RNA". It matches the Rfam family "Bacterial small subunit ribosomal RNA", at positions 524 to 780 of the family's 1533-position model. The record is from RNAcentral.
UACGGAGGAUCCGAGCGUUAUCCGGAAUUAUUGGGUUUAAAGGGUGCGUAGGCGGCCAUUUAAGUCAGCGGUGAAAUUUUGCAGCUUAACUGUAGCAGUGCCGUUGAUACUGUUUGGCUAGGAUUUGGUUGUAGUGUGCGGAAUGUGUGGUGUAGCGGUGAAAUGCUUAGAGAUCACACAGAAUAUCGAUUGCGAAGGCAGCUCACAAAGCCAAGAUUGACGCUGAGGUACGAAAGUGUGGGGAUCAAACAGGAUUA